GGCUUGUUGAUAAUAAUUUUAAGUCUGGCCUGCCCAAUGAUAAAUUUAAUGGCCGCGGUACAUUGACCGUGCAAAGGUAGCAUAAUCAUUAGUUUUUUAAUUGAAAGCUUGUAUGAAAGGUUCGAUGAGAAAAUUUCUGUCUCUAUAGGAAUUAAUUAGAAUUUUAUUUUUAAGUGAAAAAGCUUAAAUUUUUAUAGAAGACGAGAAGACCCUAUAGAGUUUUAUAUUAAUAUUAAAUAUUAAAUUUAAAGAAUUGUGAUUGAUUUUUAGUAUUAAUAUUUUAUUGGGGUGAUUGGAAAAUUAAAUAAACUUUUCUUUUAAAAGACCAUUGAUUUGUGAAUGUAUGAUCCUAUAGUUUAGAUUAAAAGAUUAAAUUACCUUAGGGAUAACAGCGUAAUCUUUUUUAGAGUUCUUAUCGAAAGAAAGGAUUGCGACCUCGAUGUUGGAUUAAAAUUAAUUAUUGGUGUAGAAGCUAAUGGAUUAAGUCUGUUCGACUUUUAAAAUUUUACAUGAUCUGAGUUUAAACCGGUGUGAG
RNAcentral lists this ribosomal RNA (535 nucleotides) under Trigonopterus sp. 214 AR-2022a. RNAcentral's name for it is "partial large subunit ribosomal RNA". It matches the Rfam family "Bacterial large subunit ribosomal RNA", at positions 1819 to 2625 of the family's 2925-position model. The record is from RNAcentral. Lineage: Eukaryota; Metazoa; Arthropoda; Insecta; Coleoptera; Curculionidae.